GCGGCGCAGCGGGGGCCGCUGACGGGAGCUGCCUGCCCGCCACCCCGAGAGCCGCCGCGUUCGGCCCGAAGUUCAGCCGGCAACCUCGGCGCUGUCGGAAGGGCCGAUCGGCGAACGCCGCGAGCUUCAGCACCGACGGAGCGGGAUACAGAGCUGCGAGCGGACUGCGGGCACCGCGCAGGGCAGAACCGCCUUCUGCUCGGGUACCGCCGCCAAACCGGGGCGGCUCUGCCCUCCCGCGGGGCUCCCGUGCCGCCCCGUGCGGCUCCGGCGGUGUGGCGUCACAGAGUGGGGCGUGACGUCACUGGCAUCCAGCGAGGGAAGGGACGUGACGUCAGCACGGCAGCGCGCGUUCGUCGACUGCCCCUCGGAGUGCAGCUGUCUGUCUUUUUGCUGUGGGGAUUUGGCUCGUGUCAGACGCCGCAAAGAAGAGUUUGUUGGUUUUAAACCAAUUUUGUUGUGUUUGGACCUCUGCAUGUGGAAGUAUUGUUGUUGGCUAUCGCUUGCAGUGAAAGCUGCCCUUUUUCUUUAUUUCAGGUGCAGGUGUCAGGCCAGAUUCAUCCCUGGUUAUCCUCUGGGACUAUAAAUAAAACAGUGAAAAUAAGAAUCGAAGUAAUGCCAAAAUGAAGGGUAGAGCUGGCAAACGCUCAGAUUUGGGUUCUGCUUUCUCCAGAAUGGGCCCUCUGUUUUUAUGGCACUCUAACACGUAGUUGCCAGCUUCAGUGUCGUUGCAGAGUUAAGCCUUAAAUCCCAUCCCCCCCACACAUAGCACUGCAACUGAUGACACAUAUUGAAGAUGUGCGCAUGUUUUUGAUUGUUUUUCCAUAUAAUACAGCCCUCUUCAAACUUCAGCCUUCAUCUGUACCGCUUCCUGCGAUUCCUCCAACCUCCCUGUUGUCACGGUGCCGUGCCAUUGGGUUUUAGUAACGUGUUUGUAGUGUGAGGAAGGGACGUGAGCUGGGAGAUGUGCAGGGUGCAGGCAGCCGCCUCAGACAGGAACACAAGAGGGCAGGGUAGCAUUAAUUGUUGUGCUUCCUGACGUCAGACUUUUCUUUGCACUGUGAGCAUUUUCUCCGUUUGUUAUCUGCCUGGAACUUUUUAGGCUUCCCAAGUGAAGUUUCCAUAGUACCCACAAACCUUUAUAGCCUAUGGUGUUGUUUUUUUUUUCCAAUAAUAAUCCUCCUUUUUUUUUUUUUUUUUUCCUCUGGGUACAUAAUUUAAGCAAAUUAUAUGUUCUCUAAAGCUGCAGUUAUAGCAUCUCUAAAUUAGAACUAGUCUUGAAAGCGUUACCCGUGUAAUUACAACACUUUCAAGAAAAAAAAAAAACACAUGAAGUCUCAUAAGAAGUUUAACUUACAGUAAAUUUAAUUUUCAAGCAUAUCUGCAUUUAUCACUAAAAAAUCCAGAAAUCUGCAGUUAACCAGUGCUCAUGCUAAUGGUGACUUCUCUCUAGGUUCAUAAUGUACGGAAACACAUUUUAAAAAUGGAGCUCUAAUCACAGAAUCAUUAAGAUUAUAAAAGACCACUGGGAUCAUCUAGUCCAGCCCAUCACCUCAUGUCCUUCUGAUCAACUAAUGUCAGGCUUA
Chrysolophus pictus (golden pheasant) is the source of this 1586-nucleotide long non-coding RNA. The record is from Ensembl. Lineage: Eukaryota; Metazoa; Chordata; Aves; Galliformes; Phasianidae.